Molecule: ribosomal RNA, 495 nt
Filed under: uncultured bacterium
Lineage: Bacteria
Description: bacterial SSU rRNA
Rfam family: Bacterial small subunit ribosomal RNA
Source: RNAcentral
ACUCAAAUGAAUAGACGGGGGCCCGCACAAGCAGUGGAGUAUGUGGUUUAAUUCGAAGCAACGCGAAGAACCUUACCUGGGCUUGACAUACCUCUGACAGGUGUAGAGAUACACCGUCCUUCGGGCAGAGGAUACAGGUGGUGCAUGGUUGUCGUCAGCUCGUGUCGUGAGAUGUUGGGUUAAGUCCCGCAACGAGCGCAACCCCUAUUGUCAGUUGCUAACAUUUAGUUGAGAACUUUGGCAAGACUGCCGGUGACAAAUCGGAGGAAGGUGGGGACGACGUCAAAUCAUCAUGCCCCUUAUGUCCAGGGCUACACACGUACUACAAUGGCCAUUAACAACAGGAAGCUAAGCCGCGAGGCAGCGCAAAUCCCCAAAAAUGGUCUCAGUUCGGAUUGCAGGCUGAAACUCGCCUGUAUGAAGUCGGAAUUGCUAGUAAUCGCGAAUCAGCAUGUCGCGGUGAAUACGUUCCCGGGCCUUGUACACACCGCCCGU